AUUCUUUUGCGGUUCAUAAGCAUGAUGAAUGGGUGUUCAUGCAUUUGUGUGAGAUGUGCCUCCCUCAAACUUUGUUACAUCGUUGGCACAUUACCUGGCUGACA
Molecule: small nucleolar RNA, 104 nt
Filed under: Dasypus novemcinctus (nine-banded armadillo)
Lineage: Eukaryota; Metazoa; Chordata; Mammalia; Cingulata; Dasypodidae
Description: Small nucleolar RNA U13 (ENSDNOG00000042642.1)
Rfam family: Small nucleolar RNA U13
Source: RNAcentral